CUCAGUUCGGAUCGGAGUCUGNAACCCGACUCCGUGAAGCUGGAUUCGCUAGUAAUCGCGCAUCAGCCAUGGCGCGGUGAAUACGUUCCCGGGCCUUGUACACACCGCCCGUCAAGCCAUGGGAGCCGGGAGUGCCUGAAGGCCGUGACCGCAAGGAGCGGCCUAAGGUAAAACUGGUGACUGGGGCUAAGUCGUAACAAGGUACC
Molecule: ribosomal RNA, 206 nt
Filed under: uncultured bacterium
Lineage: Bacteria
Description: partial 16S ribosomal RNA
Rfam family: Bacterial small subunit ribosomal RNA
Source: RNAcentral